CAAAAGCUGUCCUCCAGAUUUUUUACACUCUCCAUCAUUUUUUAGUGCUGCACUUCAUCAUCAUCAAUUUGUUUCCCUUUCAAUUUACUAGGGCUUGUCUGGUUCUCAAGUCCCUAGUGGAAAAAUGAGUACAUGAUUAUGCUAUUUGGAACACUUCAGUAGUGACAGGGAAACUAAUGGCAGGAAAGAGUUAAUUAAUACUGUUCUCUGAGGUUCCUUACUAUUCCUAAAUUGUUAUUUUAGAUUUAAUUAUUUUCCGCUAUGUGAUUACAUUCAUUUAGGAAAUAAUUUAAGAGAACUGAUGCUUAAAACCUAUAUUAGCAGACAUGUAUGAAAGGAAAAAUACCAAUUCAAUAAAGGCUAUGAUUAAUCACAGAAGAAAUAAUGAAGACAAUCAAGAAAAAAAAUCAGAAUCUAUCAUAUCAUGCAAUUUUUUCAAAAACCUAUCAUGUUCUCUGUGAAAAUUGUAUCCAGAAAUUUCUUCAGUUGUAGCCAGCAAAAUGGACAGACUUACGAUAUAAGCACUGGAAUGGAAUAGAGUGAGAACUGAGGAGACCAAUUUUACGUCUUUCUCUCAUCUCUUGUGUGACAAGACACAAAUGCUCUCUUGUCCUACAAGAUCUUCUAAAUGAUCUUAUAAGAGAUCAUUUUAAUCUCUCUCUCUCACUCUCUGCAUUCAUCACUGUAACAUUUGGUAUUUUAUGCCAUUCAGUUUCAAAUGUGUCCCCACAAGGUAGGGAAAAGGCUAAAAAAAUAGCAUUUUAUUGGAGGAGCACAAGGCUGUUUUAAUACUUUCUUUUGCUGGCGUUCAGCAUACACUAAUUUCUGUUGAAAAAUGUUUAUCAAGGGGGCUGCUCUUUGGAGAAACAAGGUUUUGGGGAGACAAUGAAAAAUUUUUAAAAAUCUUAUUUCACCCAUAAAAUUAGGUGUAGAUCAAGUGUUAUGCCAACAAUGGAUCUGUUCCCUGUUCUUCUUUCCUUGCAGUCAAGUCUUUAAUUCUGUAUUUUCUAUGUUUGAAGGCAGAGACAACACUGGGCGAGAAGACCUUUUACAUUUGGUGUAAAUUUAAAGGGAGUCAAGAAAAUCAGUCACUUUCGAGCUACAUGUAAUUUUACACUAAAAUGAUUUUGUUCACCUUGUGUUGCAGCACGAUUAACUUUCAAAUUCUUCAACAUGUUAAAUGUUUAUUCAGAAGAGUCGACAUUCAAGUGUUUGGAAAAAAUAAAAGAAGGAAGAAAUAAAAGAAAAGAAAAGAGAGAGAAUGAAAGACGUGGUUUUCCGUGCACUCUUCUCGGUAGCAUUUGGGUGGUGAAGCAAUCAAUGGUCGCAGUUUUUGACAGCAAUGCAUUAUAUGGAGAGAGAUACUCAGCUCUAAUUCUUUACCCUUUCUCCAAGUUUUGUAACUAAAUAACCUUUUUAAAUAAAAUAUUGCAACAGUCCUGCAUUUUGAGGAUGAAAGUGCUGUUUUCUAAAAGGUCAAUUCAAUCUGGGAAAUGUUUUCGGUUUAGACAAUCCAUUAUAAACUGUAGAAACCCGUGGCAAUUUUCAGCGCCACUAACAACGGGAAGUAAAUUUCAGUCAUUCACAGUGAGACGGCAAUGUGGUGACAUUUGAAGCCUGGACG
Molecule: long non-coding RNA, 1624 nt
Organism: Equus caballus (horse)
Lineage: Eukaryota; Metazoa; Chordata; Mammalia; Perissodactyla; Equidae
Source: Ensembl